Penaeus chinensis is the source of this 1090-nucleotide long non-coding RNA. RefSeq lists it as uncharacterized. The record is from RefSeq and is a predicted model, not a curated record. Lineage: Eukaryota; Metazoa; Arthropoda; Malacostraca; Decapoda; Penaeidae. The transcript has 15 exons.
UGUAUUAUGUGAUUCUGGAGUAAAUGUUAACUUAGGUGUUGAAAGUUUUCUCCUAUUGCUAUUUACAGGUUGUGGUUUGGUGCAGUAGUCCCCCUUUUCUUCAUUCAACAGUAUUUAAGUAGGAUGUAGAUCAGCACUGCUGUUGAUGAGCCUGAUGUAAGCUGUGAGAUCCAGAUUCUGCAAGGCUUCAUCCUUAUCGAUCUAUGUUACAAGACUGUGGGUGAUCAGCAAUAUUAGAUGUAAUAUGGAUCUGCAUUUUGCAAGACUUCCUGCAAAAGUUCAUUGAAAAAAAGGUGUUGAAAUCCAAAUUCCUGAAAGCAAGAUCUACAUUUUGCAUAUCAUAGGUAGCUAUUACAGAUCGACUUUUCAUCAUAAGACUGACUGUUCAAGGAGCAAUAUGUAUUAGAGAGAGAUUGUCAUGCCUAUCUUCAUUCACCAAAUAACUAUGGAUGCUGCAGAUCUGCUCUCUGUAUUUAACUAAUGUAAGCAUUAAGAUCCAGAUACUGCAAGGCCUACUUUUGGAAUUGGGGCAUUGGUUACAAGACUUGUCACACCAUCAUUCAGCUGUAUGAGAGCAAACAAGGAUCUGCAUUUUUCAAGCCAUACUGAAGAAUUAAUUGAAAAUGGUAUUCCAGUAAAUGUCGGCAUCAUAAGGCUGACACUUCAAGGAGUGAUAAACUGUUGAAGUUGAAAUGGUAUAAAUGGGAUCCACUUGAUGAAAUGGCUGCUCUUCCUCGGAUGAACUAAGAUGUAGCAGUUACCAAAGGUUAUCCAUGCAGCCAUUGCAACAGCUGCCUUAGUCAUUCAAGUCAAGAUGUUUGGACCAUGGGUUUUAAUUUUGAUCGUGAAUGAAGCAGAUCCAGCCUAUGGGAAAGGACCAAUGAUUUUUCAUCUCGGUGUGAAGAUACUGAUGCUGAUGUGAAUGAGUCACAGUACUAUUUGUCUUGUUGAAUCCCUGAUCAUAUUGAAGAUUGCAUUGUUCCUGGUCCUCAAUACUCCCGUGACAAGCAAUUGGAUCUGCAGUGUUGCUAUUCCUUUAUAGAUGUGUAGAUAUUUUCUUUGAUGCUGUAAAUAAACUGGAUUGAAUUAC